This 372-nucleotide ribosomal RNA is filed under the name Triticum aestivum (bread wheat). RNAcentral describes it as "partial small subunit ribosomal RNA". The record is from RNAcentral. Lineage: Eukaryota; Viridiplantae; Streptophyta; Magnoliopsida; Poales; Poaceae.
AUGCGUUUUCAAUCUCUACACUAUGUUGCUUUUAAUGAAAAUCUUAGAAAAAGGGUUCCUACCAAUGUUUUAGUUGAUAGAAUUUCUAAACUUAAUGAUGAUUUGGCUAUUCUAAAUAAUGAACUAGGAUAUUCUCUUGAAUAUAGGAUCACAAGGUUCUGUCAAAAGAAUGCUUAUAAUGAUGAAUUGGUUGUGCAUUAUGAAGGACCAAAGGAGGAACCUAUACCUCCCAAGGUUGAUCUUGGGGACUUUUGUCCCGUUAAAUUUAGUCCUUUUGAUUACUUUUUCUUGCCUCAAAGAAAACUUGCUGCCGAACGUAGAGAAUAUGAAAUGAGUUUUAAUAAUCUAUCUUACUAUUAUGGCAAUACCUAG